Molecule: small nucleolar RNA, 125 nt
Filed under: Marmota marmota marmota (Alpine marmot)
Lineage: Eukaryota; Metazoa; Chordata; Mammalia; Rodentia; Sciuridae
Also listed under: 1 other name
Description: Small nucleolar RNA SNORA51 (ENSMMMG00000000926.1)
Rfam family: Small nucleolar RNA SNORA51
About the family: ACA51 is a member of the H/ACA class of snoRNA that guide the sites of modification of uridines to pseudouridines.
Source: Rfam by way of RNAcentral
GGCCUCCUGAUGCUUACCACAGGCUGUGUUCUUCACUGACUAUAUAGAAAGAAGAGGCAGAGGAAGCCGACCCCAUGCACUCCUCAGCCCUGUGCCUGGUCUGCACUGCGAAUGGGGAAAUGUGG